CUACGGGACGCUGCAGUCGAGAAUCUUCCGCAAUGGACGAAAGUCUGACGGAGCGACGCCGCGUGCGGGAUGAAGGCCUUCGGGUUGUAAACCGCUGUCAGUGGGGAGGAAAUGCAUCAGGGUUCUCCCUGGUGUUUGACCGAUCCGCAGAGGAAGCGCAGGCUAAGUUCGUGCCAGCAGCCGCGGUAACACGAACUGCGCGAACGUUAUUCGGAAUCACUGGGCUUAAAGAGUUCGUAGGCGGCCUUUCAAGUCGGGUGUGAAAUCCCUCGGCUCAACCGAGGAAUUGCGCCUGCUACUGUUGGGCUUGAGGGGGAUAGGGGUGAGCGGAACUCAUGGUGGAGCGGUGAAAUGCGUUGAUAUCAUCAGGAACACCGGUGGCGAAGGCGGCUCACUGGAUCUCUUCUGACGCUGAGGAACGAAAGCUAGGGGAGCGAACGGGAUUAGAUACCCCCGUAGUC
RNAcentral lists this ribosomal RNA (461 nucleotides) under uncultured bacterium. Its description in RNAcentral is "partial 16S ribosomal RNA". It matches the Rfam family "Bacterial small subunit ribosomal RNA", at positions 339 to 795 of the family's 1533-position model. The record is from RNAcentral.